CUGGCUCAGGACGAACGCUGGCGGCGUGCCUAAUACAUGCAAGUCGAGCGGACAGAUGGGAGCUUGCUCCCUGAUGUUAGCGGCGGACGGGUGAGUAACACGUGGGUAACCUGCCUGUAAGACUGGGAUAACUCCGGGAAACCGGGGCUAAUACCGGAUGGUUGUUUGAACCGCAUGGUUCAAACAUAAAAGGUGGCUUCGGCUACCACUUACAGAUGGACCCG
RNAcentral lists this ribosomal RNA (224 nucleotides) under Bacillus subtilis. RNAcentral's name for it is "16S rRNA. Bacterial SSU". It matches the Rfam family "Bacterial small subunit ribosomal RNA", at positions 19 to 233 of the family's 1533-position model. Lineage: Bacteria; Bacillati; Bacillota; Bacilli; Caryophanales; Bacillaceae. The record is from RNAcentral.